This 497-nucleotide ribosomal RNA is filed under the name uncultured bacterium. RNAcentral describes it as "partial 16S ribosomal RNA". It matches the Rfam family "Bacterial small subunit ribosomal RNA", at positions 28 to 507 of the family's 1533-position model. The record is from RNAcentral.
GACGAACGCUGGCGGCGUGCCUAAUACAUGCAAGUCGAGCGAUGAGGCUUGGUGCUUGCACCAAUUUGAAGAGCAGCGAACGGGUGAGUAACGCGUGGGGAAUCUGCCUUUGAGCGGGGGACAACUUUUGGAAACGAAUGCUAAUACCGCAUAACAUCUUUAAACAUAAGUUUUAAGUUUGAAAGACGCAAUUGCAUCACCCAAAGAUGAUCUCGCGUUGUAUUAGCUAGUUGGUGAGGUUAAGGCUCAACAAGGCGAUGAUACAUAGCCGACCUGAGAGGGGGGUCGGCCACAUUGGGACUGGGAAAAGGCCCAAGCUCACUCGGGGGGCAGCAGUAGGGAAACUUCGGGAAUGGGCGGAAGUCUGACCGAACCACGCCGCGUGAGUGGAGAAGGUUGUCGGGUCGUAAAACUCUGUUGGUGGGGAAGAACCUUGGUGAGAGUGGAAUGCUCAUCAAGUGACGGUAACUACGCAGAAAGGGACGGCUAACUACGUG